Molecule: ribosomal RNA, 639 nt
Filed under: uncultured bacterium
Lineage: Bacteria
Description: bacterial SSU rRNA
Rfam family: Bacterial small subunit ribosomal RNA
Source: RNAcentral
CGCGGCCUAUCAGCUUGUUGGUGGGGUAACGGCCUACCAAGGCUCCGACGGGUAGCCGGCCUGAGAGGACGAUCAGCCACACUGGGACUGAGACACGGCCCAGACUCCUACGGGAGGCAGCAGUUAGGAAUCUUGCACAAUGGGGGAAACCCUGAUGCAGCGACGCCGCGUGCGGGACGAAGGCCCUCGGGUCGUAAACCGCUUUCAGCAGGAACGAAAUUGACGGUACCUGCAGAAGAAGCCCCGGCCAACUACGUGCCAGCAGCCGCGGUAAUACGUAGGGGGCAAGCGUUGUCCGGAUUCAUUGGGCGUAAAGAGCUCGUAGGCGGUUCAGUAAGUCAGGUGUGAAAUCUCCGCGCUCAACGCGGAGCGGCCACCUGAUACUGCUGUGACUCGAGUCCGGUAGGGGAGUGUGGAAUUCCCGGUGUAGCGGUGAAAUGCGCAGAUAUCGGGAGGAACACCAGUGGCGAAGGCGGCACUCUGGGCCGUGACUGACGCUGAGGAGCGAAAGCGUGGGUAGCAAACAGGAUUAGAUACCCUGGUAGUCCACGCCGUAAACGUUGGGCACUAGGUGUGGGUCUCUAUCGACGGGAUCCGUGCCGUAGCUAACGCAUUAAGUGCCCCGCCUGGGAGUACGGA